This 73-nucleotide transfer RNA is filed under the name Candidatus Pacearchaeota archaeon CG06_land_8_20_14_3_00_35_12. RNAcentral describes it as "tRNA-Ala". It matches the Rfam family "tRNA". Rfam says of the family: Transfer RNA (tRNA) molecules are approximately 80 nucleotides in length. Their secondary structure includes four short double-helical elements and three loops (D, anti-codon, and T loops). The record is from RNAcentral. Lineage: Archaea; Nanobdellati.
GGGCCUGUAGCUCAGUUGGUAGAGCGCGUCCCUUGCACGGAUGAGGUCUCGGGUUCGAAUCCCGACGGGUCCA